GACGAACGCUGGCGGCGUGCUUAACACAUGCAAGUCGAACGGUGAAGCUCCAGCUUGCUGGAGUGGAUCAGUGGCGAACGGGUGAGUAACACGUGAGCAACCUGCCCCUGACUCUGGAAUAAGCGCUGGAAACGGCGUCUAAUACUGGAUACGAGAAGGGUCCGCAUGGGCACUUUCUGGAAAGUUUUUCGGUUGGGGAUGGGCUCGCGGCCUAUCAUCUUGUUGGUGAGGUAAUGGCUCACCAAGGCGACGACGGGUAGCCGGCCUGAGAGGGCGACCGGCCACACUGGGACUGAGACACGGCCCAGACUCCUACGGGAGGCAGCAGUGGGGAAUAUUGCACAAUGGGCGAAAGCCUGAUGCAGCGACGCCGCGUGAGGGAUGACGGCCUUCGGGUUGUAAACCUCUUUCAGCAGGGAAGAAGCGAAAGUGACGGUACCUGCAGAAGAAGCACCGGCUAACUACGUG
This 468-nucleotide ribosomal RNA is filed under the name uncultured bacterium. RNAcentral's name for it is "partial 16S ribosomal RNA". It matches the Rfam family "Bacterial small subunit ribosomal RNA", at positions 28 to 507 of the family's 1533-position model. The record is from RNAcentral.